This 253-nucleotide ribosomal RNA is filed under the name uncultured bacterium. Its description in RNAcentral is "partial 16S ribosomal RNA". It matches the Rfam family "Bacterial small subunit ribosomal RNA", at positions 524 to 776 of the family's 1533-position model. The record is from RNAcentral.
UACGGGGGGGGCAAGCGUUGUUCGGAAUUACUGGGCGUAAAGGGCUCGUAGGCGGCCAACUAAGUCAGACGUGAAAUCCCUCGGCUUAACCGGGGAACUGCGUCUGAUACUGGAUGGCUUGAGUGCAGGAGAGGAACGCGGAAUUCCAGGUGUAGCGGUGAAAUGCGUAGAUAUCUGGAGGAACACCGGUGGCGAAGGCGGCGUUCUGGACUGCUACUGACACUGAGGAACGAAAGCCAGGGGAGCAAACGGG